Molecule: long non-coding RNA, 433 nt
Organism: Macrobrachium nipponense
Lineage: Eukaryota; Metazoa; Arthropoda; Malacostraca; Decapoda; Palaemonidae
Exons: 3
Source: RefSeq, a predicted model, not a curated record
UUACUACUACUACUUUGCCCAGCAUGUUGUCGCUUCUGAAAAAGUUAAACUUGAAGCGUCAUUUGUGUAUGUCAUUGUUCAGACCUGAGACAGUGCUCCCCAAAUUUUGCAGUGUAUGUCGGUACUAGAUAUCAGGCAAGAUGUCCAUAGAUUUCAAAGGUUCCGAGAAAAAGCUGUCAAGAGCCGUCCUUGACCUAAAGUUUAUGAAAAAGAGCAAAGAGAAACGUGAGAUACUUGACGAUGCAGAGGAACGUCAGCAACUUUACAAAGGGCAGCUCAGCAUGCUACACGAAGGAGCGGACAGAAUUGUUAUGCUGAGCUCAUAUGUUGACUGCAUGAAAUUCUUGCCAUGUCGUCUUUCGUUUGGCGGAAUGGAUCCCGAGGUAGAAAAAUUGAAUCAAGACAAAUUAAUUGGCUUAUACAAAGAUGUUAG